UGGAGUCCUUCCUCGGUACGUAUGUACAUACAUAUAUAUGCACAACACUUACAAUUGUUUUCCAUCACAGAAUUUGGUGGAUGAUUCUUUAAUCAGAAUCUCAGUUCGUGUUAGUAAUUCACCUAAUCAACGUUUUCACGCAAAAUGUAGAAAUUAAAUUAAGAUUUGAUUGAUGUGGAACUGUAUUAAAAAAAUACUAAAAGCAAAACACUAUUGAAUUAUAUAUAAAUUUAGUUAAUUUUCAUUAUUACCGAUUUAAUUGUUAUUACAGUUAUGCUAAGGAUGAAUCCAUGAUGAAGUGGUUCGAGGUGCCGGGGUUUAACUUCAUUCACGCGAUAAACGCGUGGGAGGAGGAUGAGGGAAGAACAUUGGUGGUGGUGGCGCCGAAUAUUCUGUCG
Molecule: long non-coding RNA, 398 nt
Filed under: Phaseolus vulgaris (common bean)
Lineage: Eukaryota; Viridiplantae; Streptophyta; Magnoliopsida; Fabales; Fabaceae
Description: long non-coding RNA (PVUL_LNC004479)
Source: RNAcentral